AGAUUUUUGGAUAUUCUAAUCGUAGCUCCAGGAGGAGUUCUUAUAAGACCAAAUGCAAUGGCCAGCUUCUCACUAUGAUGAGAAACUGCAGCUUCCUUAUCAUCUUCUUCUGCAUCUAUUCUUGCAUCUGCUGUGUUUGGGACAUAUCCAGCGGCCUUGAUUUGUUUUAUCAUGUCUUCGGCGGCGCAAUAAACUUCCUUCAGCGGAUAUGCAUUCUCUUCAGCCAAAAAUUCGUAAAUCUCUCCUUCCAACUCAAUUAAACUACAACCAGGUGUUUUCUUGAUUCCCCUCUCUUUCAUCUGAUUCCUUGUCCUCAUUGCGUCCUCCCACCUCCCCACUGAUGCAUAAAUAUUAGACAACAGAAUGUAAUCCCCACUAUGCAUAAGCUCCAAACUAACUAGUUGUUUGACUGCCUCCUCCCCAAUUUCAACAUUUUUAUGAGCUCUACAGGAAGCCAGCAGUGUUCUCCAAAUAACAGCAUUCGGUUGGAAAGGCAUUUUCUUUAUGAACUGAUAAGCCUCUUUGAUCAAUGCAGCUCUGCCAAGGAUGUCUACCAUGCAACCAUAGUGUUCCAUCCUUGGUUCAAUACCAAAUUCUUUACUCAUGCUGUUGAAAAACUCAUGACCCUCGUCAACCAGACCAAAAUGACUACAUGCAGAAAGAACUCCAAUGAAAGUUACAUCAUUUGGCUCAAUAUUUCUUUCCCGCAUCAAUUGAUAAAACUUGAGAGCUUUUUUUCCUUGCCCGUUAUUAGCAAGACCCUGAAUUAGGGCUGUCCAUGAGUAAACAUUUUUUGAAGGCAUCAUUUGAAACACUUCAGUUGCACUAUCUAUUUGUCCGCAUUUUGCGUAGAAAUCUAUUAGUGCGGUUCCCAGUGUGACAGUGAGCUUCAUCCUCUUCUUCUUAAUAUACAGGUGAACCCACUUGCCAGUCUCCAG
This 938-nucleotide unclassified non-coding RNA is filed under the name Hevea brasiliensis (rubber tree). Lineage: Eukaryota; Viridiplantae; Streptophyta; Magnoliopsida; Malpighiales; Euphorbiaceae. The record is from RNAcentral.